Molecule: ribosomal RNA, 780 nt
Filed under: uncultured Bacillaceae bacterium
Lineage: Bacteria; Bacillati; Bacillota; Bacilli; Caryophanales; Bacillaceae
Description: bacterial SSU rRNA
Rfam family: Bacterial small subunit ribosomal RNA
Source: RNAcentral
GACGAACGCUGGCGGCGUGCCUAAUACAUGCAAGUCGAGCGCGUGAAACAUUUCAGAUCUCUUCGGAGUGACGAAUUGUGGAUCGAGCGGCGGAUGGGUGAGUAACACGUGGGCAACCUGCCUGUAAGAUCGGGAUAACUUGCGGAAACGUGAGCUAAUACCGGAUAAAGCAGCGCAUCUCCUGAUGUGUUGGUGAAAGACGGCUAUGCUGUCACUUACAGAUGGGCCCGCGGCGCAUUGGCUAGUUGGUGGGGUAAUGGCCUACCAAGGCGACGAUGCGUAGCCGACCUGAGAGGGUGAUCGGCCACACUGGGACUGAGACACGGCCCAGACUCCUACGGGAGGCAGCAGUAGGGAAUCUUCCGCAAUGGACGAAAGUCUGACGGAGCAACGCCGCGUGAGUGAUGAAGGUUUUCGGAUCGUAAAACUCUGUUGUCAGGGAAGAACAAGUUUGAGAGUAACUGCUCAGACCUUGACGGUACCUGACCAGAAAGCCACGGCUAACUACGUGCCAGCAGCCGCGGUAAUACGUAGGUGGCAAGCGUUGUCCGGAAUUAUUGGGCGUAAAGCGCUCGCAGGCGGUCUUUUAAGUCUGAUGUGAAAUCUUGCGGCUUAACCGUAAGCGGUCAUUGGAAACUGGAGGACUUGAGUACAGAAGAGGAGAGUGGAAUUCCACGUGUAGCGGUGAAAUGCGUAGAGAUGUGGAGGAACACCAGUGGCGAAGGCGACUCUCUGGUCUGUAACUGACGCUGAGGAGCGAAAGCGUGGGGAGCAAACAGG